AUAUUCCUACCCAUUAUUUCAGUUUUAAACCAAUUAACUUGCUAUAAAGAAAGCUAUAUGUUGCCUUUAGGACUCAUAACUAAUAAUGGAAAUAUGAACAUCAAGUGCAAAGAGCUUUGCGUGCUAGUAAUGAUUUAAGUACAGGUUGACACCUAUUAUUGACCUUUAAUAUGAUUCCUUUGCAGUUUUAUGUUUACCCAAAGACUGGAGUGCGACUGCUAUCAAAACAAGAUGUUCUUCUGUAUAUCAAUGAGGCAACGGUCUCAAAGUGUGAUACAAAUGGACAAUGUAACACCAGUUCUGAAGCUAAUGUGUGCCUCUUGCUUGAACUUCUUACUCGAAGAACACAUCACAUCCUUGAAUGAUUGAUUUUCUUUCCUAUGUACUCUUUUGGCACAUUUGCAGCUACUUGCAAUAGUGGACUUUCACCCAAGUGGAUUGCCAGAAGGAUGGGUAAAAGAGCUAGUAUUUAGAAAGACAAAGGAAGGACUCAUCAGGAGAGAUCCGUAUUACACGGAUCCUGCUAGCUCCUACACAUUCCGUACGCUGAAAUCUGCACUAUGCUUCGUAGAAACCGGAAAAAUUUCCAAGCGUGCUUUUAUUCAAAGGAUAAGUGUUCAUGACCUGUACUCUUUUGACAAGUCUGCAGAUUUGGUAAUUGUUCUCUUGAUGUUUUGUUAUCUGGAUAAAUGUUCACUAUUCCCUAGUUACUUGCAUUCUUCACAUCAUCAUGGAAAAACACUAAACAUAGUGAGAAUUUAUUUUUUGCCACCUGAUUUAGAACUACUUAUUUGCUUUAUUUUCUAGCUUCAAAUAGGAAUCAUAUUUGUUUCAUAAGUUUUUCCAAUGUAUUAUGGAUGGAUUAAAACUGAAUUGGAAUCAAUUUUAUUAACUAGAUAUCAUUAAUUUUAUGGUCAUGUUGCGUGGCAAUUCCUUGCUAGAUUGCUAUAUACUCUCUCUAGUCAUGAACACUUUCUGUUUCAAAUAAGGUUUCAUCUAACAAUUCCAAGCUUUGAAUAAAAAUCUUAUACAAUAUUUAGUUUUGAAAAUAUUCUACUAUAUCAUAAUCUUUUAGUUUUAUUAGAAUAUUACAGUAGAAAUUAGAGUGGUCAAAGCUAUACAUUGGAGACAGGUCUUGGUCCUCAACAUCAAGUAUUUGAGUCUGGACUUGAGGGAGUAGCAGCUUUAUGACAUUCCAGAGGUCCCUCAAAAUAAUUGAUUAAUUUUUUUUUUGGCAGCACGAAAGUUUGCGUAGUAGACUGAUAAUAAAUGAGACACCUUAUGCGAAGGCCACAAGAUCAUCCCGACCUAGAGGGACACCACAAAUAGAGUAUGAUCAAAUUAUAAACAACCGUAAGUUCCUGCACUUGUCGUUAUUCUCAUAAUUUUAUACAUGUGUGCACUCCUCUUGGUUUUAUACUACUUUCUUUUUGUUCUACAAAUUUGCAAACAUGCAUAGGCUUAGCUAUGUAUGUAUAAUUCUAUACCAACGUACUCCAAAAAUGAAAUAUAAUAAUAGCUGCUUGACAUCGAAUAGAGUAUGCUAUUGUUACAUGAUUUCCUUUUGGUUCUAUGAAUUUUCCACCAGUCUUCGGAACUAUAAAUUCUUUUACAUAUUAUUGAUAUACAUAGCAAUAAAUAACACACUAAGUGAAUUAGACUAUGCAUGCAUAUAUAUUUACUGUAACUCUUAGGAUUGUUUCUUUAUUAAGGUAGCUAAUUUCCAUCAAUAGGGGUUAAGGGAUUCCCACUUUUCACUCAUCUACUAAGUGGCCUAGAAGUCAAAUAAUGUUUAAGAAUUGAUGCAUACAUAUGUACUCUAUUCAAUCAUCAUGGUGUCAUUUUUAAGCCACUUACCUUGUGUUAGUAUAUAGCUUUAUGGUUUAAGUGGACCAAUUUUCACAUUUUAGGCUUCGUUGUUCCAUGUUUUUUUUUCUUUAAUGAUUAGCUAUGACCUCAAAGUACAUAUUAUAGAUUAGAUGCAUCCAACACAAGCUUGACUAACCUGAGAAAGGGUAUGGAGCAACAAUCCAUUUACGUAUAUGUAAAUAGCUAGGCAACAUGCACAUGAGAUCAUUUAAUAUAUUAUGCAACUAACAAAUAGAGAUAUAAUGUUAAUCAACAGCAUGCAUGUUUCCAUCCAAACAAAUAGAGAUCAAUGCAUCAUGUGUUGUAUUUUCCGCUUACUUGCUCUGACAACUAAUUUGUUUGUGCUUUAUGCUAGCACAAGAUGGUGACACCUCUGGCUCAGAUUCGCCAUAUGAGCCGGAAGAAGAAAACAUCAGAAGCAGGAAGGCUAAAGGCAAAGAAGCAACCAACUCAAGGACUAUCAACCGUUCAACAGGAAGGCCCCCACAAUUGAGGAUUAAAGAGGAGCCAACAGAUGAUCAGGAUGUGGACUAAAGAAACAAAUUGCAGAAGAUAUCAAAAUAAAAUUUUACCAACACUUAUGGUGUUGUUUUGUUCUAUUUCUUAGUGUGCUGUUACUACCAGCAAAAAUAAUUAUCUGUAAUAGUUAAACUAGUAUUAAGUCAUUGCUGCUUCACAUUUGAUGGUUGAUGUUUCAAUUUAAACUAGUAUUAAGCCAUGUCUGUUGCUACAUAUUGAUGGUUAAUAUGCUUCUAUUGAACUC
Long non-coding RNA from Setaria italica (foxtail millet), 2632 nucleotides. RefSeq lists it as uncharacterized. The transcript has 2 exons. The record is from RefSeq and is a predicted model, not a curated record. Lineage: Eukaryota; Viridiplantae; Streptophyta; Magnoliopsida; Poales; Poaceae.